Molecule: ribosomal RNA, 250 nt
Filed under: uncultured bacterium
Lineage: Bacteria
Description: partial 16S ribosomal RNA
Rfam family: Bacterial small subunit ribosomal RNA
Source: RNAcentral
UACGUAGGGUGCGAGCGUUAAUCGGAAUUACUGGGCGUAAAGCGUGCGCAGGCGGUUCGUUAAGUUCGAUGUGAAAGCCCCGGGCUCAACCUGGGAAUGGCAUUGGAAACUGGCGAGCUCGAGUGUGGCAGAGGAAGGUGGAAUUCCACGUGUAGCGGUGAAAUGCGUAGAGAUGUGGAGGAACACCAAUGGCGAAGGCAGCCCCCUGGGCCGACAUUGACGCUCAGGCACGAAAGCGUGGGGAGCAAAC